CAGCAGCCGCGGUAAUACCGGCGGCCCGAGUGGCGGUCACUAUUAUUGGGCUUAAAGCGUCCGUAGCCGGGUUGGGAAGUCCUCCGGGAAAUCUGGCCGCUUAACGGUCAGAAUGCCGGAGGAUACUCCCAGCCUAGGGAGCGGGAGAGGCCGAGGGUAUUCCCGGAGUAGGGGUGGAAUCCUAUAAUCCCGGGAGGACCACCUGUGGCGAAGGCGCUCGGCUGGAACGCGUCCGACGGUGAGGGACGAAGGCCAGGGGAGCAAACCGGAUUAGAUACCCGGGUAGUCCUGGCUGUAAACGAUGCGGACUUUGUGUCGGACAAGCUAUGAGCUUGUCCGGUGCCGGAGGGAAACCGUUAAGUCCGCCGCCUGGGGAGUACGGCCGCAAGGCUGAAACUUAAAGGAAUUGGCGGG
RNAcentral lists this ribosomal RNA (414 nucleotides) under uncultured microorganism. Its description in RNAcentral is "bacterial SSU rRNA". It matches the Rfam family "Archaeal small subunit ribosomal RNA", at positions 459 to 872 of the family's 1478-position model. The record is from RNAcentral.